UGCAGUCGAACGGUGAUAGCAAUAUCAUAGUGGCGCACGGGUGCGUAACACGUAUGCAACCUACCUAUUAUUGGGGGAUAGCCUUUGGAAACGGAGAUUAAUACCGCAUAAUACGAUUGACUGGCAUCGGUUGAUUGUUAAAGCUUCGGCGAUAAUAGAUGGGCAUGCGUCCAAUUAGUUAGUUGGUUAGGUAACGGCUGACCAAGACGAUGAUUGGUAGGGGAUCUGAGAGGAUAAUCCCCCACACUGGCACUGAGAUACGGGCCAGACUCCUACGGGAGGCAGCAGUAGGAAAUAUUGGGCAAUGGGCGGAAGCCUGACCCAGCCAUGCCGCGUGCAGGAAGAAGGCGUUAUGCGUUGUAAACUGCUUUUUUAUAGGAAGAAGGAUCCCUUGCGAGGGAAGGUGACGGUACUAUAAGAAUAAGCACCGGCUAACUCCGUGCCAGCAGCCGCGGUAAUACGGAGGGUGCAAGCGUUGUCCGGAUUUAUUGGGUUUAAAGGGUGCGUAGGCGGUUUAUUAAGUCAGUGGUGAAAGACGGUCGCUCAACGAUUGCAGUGCCAUUGAUACUGGUAGACUUGAGUGAGAUUGAGGUAGCUGGAAUGGAUAGUGUAGCGGUGAAAUGCAUAGAUAUUAUCCAGAACACCGAUUGCGAAGGCAGGUUACUAAGUCUUAACUGACGCUGA
This 684-nucleotide ribosomal RNA is filed under the name uncultured bacterium. RNAcentral's name for it is "bacterial SSU rRNA". It matches the Rfam family "Bacterial small subunit ribosomal RNA", at positions 56 to 749 of the family's 1533-position model. The record is from RNAcentral.